RNAcentral lists this ribosomal RNA (771 nucleotides) under uncultured Nocardioides sp. RNAcentral's name for it is "bacterial SSU rRNA". It matches the Rfam family "Bacterial small subunit ribosomal RNA", at positions 8 to 795 of the family's 1533-position model. Lineage: Bacteria; Bacillati; Actinomycetota; Actinomycetes; Propionibacteriales; Nocardioidaceae. The record is from RNAcentral.
AGAGUUUGAUCCUGGCUCAGGACGAACGCUGGCGGCGUGCUUAACACAUGCAAGUCGAGCGGAAAGGCCACUUCGGUGGUACUCGAGCGGCGAACGGGUGAGUCACACGUGAGUUAUCUGCCCCUGGCUUUGGGAUAGCCACCGGAAACGGUGAUUAAUACCGGAUACGACAACUUCUCGCAUGGGAUGGUUGUGGAAAGUUUUUCGGCCAGGGAUGUGCUCGCGGCCUAUCAGCUUGAUGGUGAGGUAAUGGCUCACCAUGGCUUCGACGGGUAGCCGGCCUGAGAGGGUGACCGGUCACACUGGGACUGAGACACGGCCCAGACUCCUACGGGAGGCAGCAGUGGGGAAUAUUGGACAAUGGGCGGAAGCCUGAUCCAGCAACGCCGCGUGAGGGAUGACGGCCUUCGGGUUGUAAACCUCUUUCGCCUGUGACGAAGCGCAAGUGACGGUAACAGGUAAAGAAGCACCGGCCAACUACGUGCCAGCAGCCGCGGUAAUACGUAGGGUGCGAGCGUUGUCCGGAAUUAUUGGGCGUAAAGGGCUCGUAGGCGGUUUGUCGCGUCGGGAGUGAAAACCAGGUGCUUAACACCUGGCUUGCUUUCGAUACGGGCAGACUAGAGGUAUUCAGGGGAGAACGGAAUUCCUGGUGUAGCGGUGAAAUGCGCAGAUAUCAGGAGGAACACCGGUGGCGAAGGCGGUUCUCUGGGAAUGACCUGACGCUGAGGAGCGAAAGUGUGGGGAGCGAACAGGAUCGAUACCCUGGUAGUC